Long non-coding RNA from Etheostoma cragini (Arkansas darter), 895 nucleotides. RefSeq lists it as uncharacterized. Lineage: Eukaryota; Metazoa; Chordata; Actinopteri; Perciformes; Percidae. The record is from RefSeq and is a predicted model, not a curated record. The transcript is spliced from 2 exons.
UAACUCAAUUCAUUUUGGUGCAGACGCCUUCAAUCAACAUAUUCAGUUCUGCACGGUAUGAGGUGCACGCUGGCUUCAGCAAUUACCCUUAGUUUAAUGGAAAACAAGAUAAGUGGGGUAAUUAACGUUACUAACGUCUUUUUCCAUGCUAACGCUGGCUAGAUAACUAAUCUCUUCGGCGACCUGCCUCUUUGGAAUCAGUCCUUUAUUGAAGAGCAGUGAGGCCAUGUACGAGAACAACAAAGUGGCAAACAUGUUGGACAACAUGCAGAUUGUCUGAACAGGAGAGUGCUGGACAUAUACGCCAUCCUCAAGAGUGCAAUCUGGAAAGUGGAGAACAAUAGGCAACCCUAUCGAUGGCUCGCCACUCAGCACUCUCAAUAAUACUCCUACUAGCAAGCCCAUAAUGGAGCCGUAGCCAUUAGAGAUAUUAAAGAAGAGUACGCAGAUGAGUUGAGGGAACAUGAUGGUGUAGGUUAUGCCUGAGCCCAGGAUCCAGAAAACCAUAAUGCUGUUGUGUACGAAGGUGAGCGCUGUACCAGCCAAGCCCACCAACACCACAGUGGCCCGGAUUACCCACUGGAGCUCCCUUUCUGAAGCCUGCAGGGGGGAAAAUGCCUUUAAGCUGAAACCUGCAUAAAACCCACAAGCUUGCUCUUUUCCUCAGGUCUCCUCUUACCUUGGUCCUGAGGAUGUUUUUAUAGAUGUUGGAUGUGAAAAUGGAGGCGGCUGACAAUAAAGCUGAGUCCGUUGAUGACAUCACAGCAGCAGCUAUAGCUCCAAUACCGAUAAUGGAAAUGUAGUUGGGUGUGAGGUUCUGCAGAGCAAUGGGCAGAACCAGACCGGCAUCUCCACGCUCGUAUGGGGACGGGGAGCCAUACUCAGUCGUAUUCCA